This 254-nucleotide ribosomal RNA is filed under the name uncultured bacterium. RNAcentral's name for it is "partial 16S ribosomal RNA". It matches the Rfam family "Bacterial small subunit ribosomal RNA", at positions 524 to 776 of the family's 1533-position model. The record is from RNAcentral.
UACGUAGGGUGCGAGCGUUGUCCGGAAUUAUUGGGCGUAAAGAGCUCGUAGGCGGUCUGUCGCGCCGAUCGUGAAAACUUGGGGCUUAACCCUGAGCUUGCGGUCGAUACGGGCAUGACUGGAGUUCGGCAGGGGAGACUGGAAUUUUCGGUGUAGCGGUGAAAUGCGUAGAUAUCGAGAGGAACACCUGCGGCGAAGGCGGGUUGCUGGGCUGACACUGACGCUGAGGCGCGAAAGCCAGGGGAGCGAACGGG